CGCAAUGAAUAAAACCUUCACUUGUACAAACAUGAAGAUUAAAGUCUUGCCAUUUCUCAUAUUGGCCUCCAUUGCACUGACAAAUGGAAUCGUUGCGCCUAUUUGUCCGCAUUGGACCGAAUGUUGGUAUUAUAAAACUGGCCGAGAUGUUUACUGACUGCAGCAGAGAUUAUCGUAUUAUUCUGAAAUGUUCCGUAAGCCCUGGAGAAGAAAAAAGCGAAUAAUCUGCAUUCAGAUUGACGAACGCUUGUCAGAGUCGACAUGUGAAAGUAGUACGACGAUCUAAAUAUAUCUAGAUUUACAGUUACAUACUCACAAAAACACA
Molecule: long non-coding RNA, 325 nt
Organism: Drosophila grimshawi
Lineage: Eukaryota; Metazoa; Arthropoda; Insecta; Diptera; Drosophilidae
Exons: 2
Source: RefSeq, a predicted model, not a curated record